RNAcentral lists this unclassified non-coding RNA (519 nucleotides) under uncultured Glomus. RNAcentral describes it as "SSU rRNA". It matches the Rfam family "Eukaryotic small subunit ribosomal RNA", at positions 569 to 1093 of the family's 1831-position model. Lineage: Eukaryota; Fungi; Glomeromycota; Glomeromycetes; Glomerales; Glomeraceae. The record is from RNAcentral.
AGCAGCCGCGGUAAUUCCAGCUCCAAUAGCGUAUAUUAAAGUUGCUGCAGUUAAAAAGCUCGUAGUUGAAUUUCGGGACUAAUAUGUCGGUCGUGCCUCGGUACGUACUGGUUUAUUGGUUUCUCCUUUCUGAAGAACCAUGAUGUCAUUUAUUUGGUGUCGUGGGGAAUCAGGACUGUUACUUUGAAAAAUUAGAGUGUUUAAAGCAGGCUCACGCUUGAAUACAUUAGCAUGGAAUAAUGAAAUAGGACGUUUGAUUCUAUUUUGUUGGUUUCUAGGAUCGACGUAAUGAUUAAUAGGGAUAGUUGGGGGCAUUAGUAUUCAAUUGUCAGAGGUGAAAUUCUUGGAUUUAUUGAAGACUAACUACUGCGAAAGCAUUUGCCAAGGAUGUUUUCAUUAAUCAAGAACGAAAGUUAGGGGAUCGAAGACGAUCAGAUACCGUCGUAGUCUUAACCAUAAACUAUGCCGACUAGGGAUCGGAUGAUGUUAAUUUUUAAUGACUCAUUCGGCGCCUUAACC